GCGAUGUCAGAGAGAGCGCGAGGGUCCCACUAGACCUCAGUUUAUACGCAAGUUACCUCAACGACGGUUUAACGCCAACGUCUCUAACCUGGAAGCGAGACCUGAACGGGUCCGUCGGCUGAGAAUAGCGCCACCUCUCCACCAGCGCCGUGACAGCAGAAUCUUGCAGCUCGCUGAAAUAACGAGCGAUUUGAUUCACGACCUGAUUCACGACUACAGCACCACAUUUUCUAACGCGUGUGAAAAAGGUUUUGUGUGAAAGGUUUGAAUGCAUGUCCGUGUCGAGGUAUAUUUUGAUGUUGUGAAUUCAUGUUUUUGAAUGCAUGUUAGCGUCAGGGAAAUAUUUUUGACGUUGUGAAUGCUAGGUUAUAGAUAGGGGAAAAUUAUAUAAUAAAAGUGUGCAAGAAAAAUAAAAAAAUCAUUUAACCCUGA
Long non-coding RNA from Pangasianodon hypophthalmus (striped catfish), 432 nucleotides. RefSeq lists it as uncharacterized. Lineage: Eukaryota; Metazoa; Chordata; Actinopteri; Siluriformes; Pangasiidae. The record is from RefSeq and is a predicted model, not a curated record. The transcript is spliced from 2 exons.